This 300-nucleotide long non-coding RNA is filed under the name Lathyrus oleraceus (garden pea). RNAcentral describes it as "Pisum sativum (pea) long non-coding RNA (PSAT_LNC032891)". The record is from RNAcentral. Lineage: Eukaryota; Viridiplantae; Streptophyta; Magnoliopsida; Fabales; Fabaceae.
AAAAAUUGAAAUGUUGAUUAAGGCUCUAUCUGAAGAAAAAGAUGGUCUGAAAAAUGAUGGAACUGAUGAAGAAGAAGAAAAUGAAGACAUUACUGAUGCAAGUGAUGAGGAAGAGGCUACCAGCAGUGAUGAAGAUUAAUGAUCUAUAGAGCUUUUAUGUGUUGAUUUUGUUUUUGUUUAUUUUGUGGGUUGUGCCCAGGAUUCUAUUUUGUGCACUUUAUAAGUGCUCUUUGGUUUGUAAACUCUCUUGAUCGUAUGUGGCUUACAGUGAUGUCUUGGUUAAUGUGUUUUGUUUGUCAA